Molecule: non-coding RNA, 410 nt
Organism: Neolamprologus brichardi
Lineage: Eukaryota; Metazoa; Chordata; Actinopteri; Cichliformes; Cichlidae
Source: RefSeq, a predicted model, not a curated record
UGCAGCCUGUAACGGGGAGGAGGUCUGCAGCUGUCUGGAUGUACUCAGGCUGCAGAGAAUCGAAACUUAUCCGAGGAGAGGGAAGUGUCGGGCGGUCACAAACGAAACCUCCUCGGGGUUUGCUCCUGUCAAAGUCUCUCCGUCCGGAAACAGCAUGGCCCACGUUUAAACUUUGCUUCGGCUCAAUGAACUUCCUGGCUUCUUCUUCUACUGUGGACAAGCAUGGAUCCUGGCCGAGAGAAACGCAAGGAGGAGAUAAACAAAGCUUUGGCUUUUAUACAGUCUUCCCUGGCCUAUCCUGACCCCGACGGCUAUCAGGUAGUGCUAAUGCUGUUAUGUGCGUUUGCUUUUUAUGCCCUGUGCCUAAAAAGGGCAGCUGGCCCUGUGCAUGCUUUGGUGUGAAGCACUCU